Dunckerocampus dactyliophorus (ringed pipefish) is the source of this 972-nucleotide long non-coding RNA. RefSeq lists it as uncharacterized. The record is from RefSeq and is a predicted model, not a curated record. NCBI's taxonomy places the organism in Eukaryota, Metazoa, Chordata, Actinopteri, Syngnathiformes, Syngnathidae. The transcript is spliced from 3 exons.
UGGCACGCCUGCACAGCGUGACGGAAAGGAGAGCGGGCGGGAGACGCUUGCUACAGGCUGCAUGCUGCAAUAGUACGAGCCACGGGUGAUCGGCGUUGAAAGGCAUUUAUCGGCACACUUUUUCACGGAAAUCAUCCGAUUUGAUCAGUGGCCGAUCGAUCGGCGCAUCCCCAGUUCAAAUCCCCAAAAUAGAAGUAUUUGGUAUGUCUAUUUCGUGCAAAGACUGCCUGUACAAGAUAUAAACAGACGUUUGUGGGAAGCUGACUUUUGCUGUCGUUUGGGAUGAAUGAGGAUAUUCACAGGACUUCUUUUGGGUUUGAAAGUGCCACAUGUUGUCCGUUUUGAAUCCUUUCACAGACCGUGGACAUCCAAGCAGAUGAUCCCAUCUCUUUUAUUCCAGUCACAGAAUUACAGCACAGAAAGACCAACAUGCAAAAUGCAACAUGUUGCAUCAACGCCAGUGAUGGAAAUAUCAGUCAUGCCCGAGCAUCCACCAGCCGGAACGUCAGCUGAAGUUUCGAUCGCCUGCUGAUGAAGUCGUUUCCACAUGAAAAAGGAAAGCUCGCGCAAUAACACAUGGUGACAAAAGUACCACAUUGUCGUCAAGCCAAACAUCACAGCUGCUAAACAUCUCAUGACCAAAUCAGACAUGACUGGAUGACAUCAUUCACGAGCGUUACAUGAGCAUCCAAUGGAAAGCAUCUAUCUCCAAACACUUAGUCAUGGAAAAAAUGAUUAGACCACCUAAGUUAUGUGAGGCAUUAAAAUGAACGAAAACUGAAGAAACAAGGGUGGUCUAAUCAUUUCCAUGAAUGUAUUUUGGGGGGUUUUCUCUGCACAAAUGUGUGUGUUUUUUUUUAUUGUUGUUUUUCUGGUGCAAUAAUUCAAUUUGUGUGUUUGGAUUUCAGAUUCAAAGAAAUUGAAUAAAUUAAUUUUUUUUUAAAAGUAAAUAUAUUUUUUUUCAGAUUUAAA